AUUCAAACCACCAAACUUGGAGAUAAGGGACUAUUCUUGGGUUCCAGUCAAAAGAUAGGUGGCUUGGCUAAGGCAGCAGCUGUGGGGGAGACUUAAAGCAGCCAUGAGAACGAUUCUGAGCAGCCCCAUUUCAAAGGGAUACCCAGCCAUUUUAUGAGGCAAGAUGGCCCAGGAAGGAGAGGCAGGUUCUUUAGCUGUGUGGUCUUGGGUGAAUGCUGUGUGAAGAUAGCUAUCCUGGAGGCCUGCUGGAUUCCUUUAGUGGAAAAUAGGAAGACUUACCAGUUGACCUGGCGCUACUGUCUACACCGACUUCCAGUUCAGAAAAAGCAAAUUCUCAGAAGACUCUCAGGAAGUAGUGUUAGACCCAUGACAUUGACCGCCAUGUAGUUCAGGGGCCCAGAGCCGAGGUGAGAAAGUGAGGAUGUAAGAACUUAAAGGUAUUUCUAGGCAUAGAGUUUUAAAGGAGAACACAGAGAGGAAGCAAGAGGAACAGGGCACGCUGGGAACAAGGAAACGCUUGAAAAGGUAAAGGAAGCCUGGGUUGAAAGAGAAGCCUAUGGCCCUGAAUCCGGAAAACUGAUUCGGGAUUAGCAGGUUCCAAGCCUCCCCACAUUGGUUGCGCACAGCAUGAUCCAUCUUCACACUCCCAGCACCUACUCCCGGGGGCAUCAUGACAGAUGGACAGCAGUAGACAUUAAAAUCACAGUAGGCUGGAGCCAGGCUCUUUCCCCAAUAUCCACAUCCCCUCCCCUUUCAGGAUCCCUUCUAGAAGCUUCUCAAGCUCCAGGGAGCCAUCUGCACUGGCUCAGACGUGGCAGAGAAGGAAUUAAAACGUGAGAGGCAAGAUCAGAGAGAGACUUGCUCCCCUCAAGAACCUCUUAAGUAGAGGGAAAAAGGCAGGCAAUUUUUAAUCAUCACGGAUUGUUUAAACUUCUGAAUCCGUCUUCUGCGGAGCCUAGGGAGCACCCAUUGUGGCUGGUACCCAGCAGUAGUCCUUGGUCCACCUACCCCCAACAGUCACACACAUUUCCUGGACCCUUCUGUAGGUCCUCCCAGGGUCCUUGCUAGGCCAGGCCAGCAGGACCCUGCUUAUCUAAGGAGAUCUGACAAGACUGCAGCCCUGGGGGUAUGGCUGCUGGCGAAACAUAUGGUACAUCGUAAAUAGGACUUCCUUUUAGGAAAUGAGCUGCUGUAAUUAAAUCCCCAUUCAUUUUUCUGUAACAUACACACAGAGACAAAUAGAUCUUUAUCCUUUAGAAGCUCCGAAGAGAAAAGGCUUGUGGGGAGCUGAGAUUCUCAACUGUGACUUUUAUAAAAGAUUGCUUAGAUCCAGGUGAAAUAAGAAGUCCCUUUUUUGGGGGGGGGGGGGGUGGAGUGGGGGGGGGUGGAGUCCUCUGUUUAACAGUCCUUGCUGUCCUGGAACUCACUUUGUUUACUUUGUAGACAAGGCUAGCCGAGAACUCACAGAAAUAUGCCUGCCUCUGCCACCCAAAUUAUUGAGAUUAAAGGCAUGUGCCACUACU
This 1523-nucleotide long non-coding RNA is filed under the name Mus musculus (house mouse). Its description in RNAcentral is "RIKEN cDNA 4930519A11 gene". Lineage: Eukaryota; Metazoa; Chordata; Mammalia; Rodentia; Muridae. The record is from RNAcentral.